This 492-nucleotide ribosomal RNA is filed under the name uncultured bacterium. RNAcentral describes it as "partial 16S ribosomal RNA". It matches the Rfam family "Bacterial small subunit ribosomal RNA", at positions 29 to 507 of the family's 1533-position model. The record is from RNAcentral.
AGUGAACGCUGGCGGUAGGCCUAACACAUGCAAGUCGAACGGCAGCACAGUAAGAUCUUGCUCUUACGGGUGGCGAGUGGCGGACGGGUGAGGAAUACAUCGGAAUCUACUUUUUCGUGGGGGAUAACGUAGGGAAACUUACGCUAAUACCGCAUACGACCUACGGGUGAAAGCAGGGGAUCUUCGCACCUUGCGCGAUUGAUUGAGCCGAUGUCGGAUUAGCUAGUUGGCGUGGUAAAGGCCCACCAAGGCGACGAUCCGUAGCUGGUCUGAGAGGAUGAUCAGCCACACUGGAACUGAGACACGGUCCAGACUCCUACGGGAGGCAGCAGUGGGGAAUAUUGGACAAUGGGCGCAAGCCUGAUCCAGCCAUACCGCGUGGGUGAAGAAGGCCUUCGGGUUGUAAAGCCCUUUUGUUGGGAAAGAAAAGCAGCAGGUUAAUACCCCGCUGUUCUGACGGUACCCAAAGAAUAAGCACCGGCUAACUUCGUG